This 67-nucleotide transfer RNA is filed under the name Agrilinae sp. 1 ACP-2013. Its description in RNAcentral is "tRNA-Trp". Lineage: Eukaryota; Metazoa; Arthropoda; Insecta; Coleoptera; Buprestidae. The record is from RNAcentral.
UAAGGAUUUAAGUUAAAAUAAACUAACAGCCUUCAAAGCUGUAAAUAAAAACCCAUUUUUAAGCCUU